RNAcentral lists this ribosomal RNA (496 nucleotides) under uncultured bacterium. Its description in RNAcentral is "bacterial SSU rRNA". It matches the Rfam family "Bacterial small subunit ribosomal RNA", at positions 29 to 518 of the family's 1533-position model. The record is from RNAcentral.
AUGAACGCUAGCGAUAGGCCUAACACAUGCAAGUCGAGGGGCAGCACAAGGAGCAAUCUGAGGUGGCGACCGGCGCACGGGUGAGUAACACGUAUGCAACCUGCCUGUAAGCGGGGAAUAACCCGUUGAAAGACGGACUAAUACCGCAUAAUACUAAAUUACUGCAUGGUAAUUUAUUUAAACAUUUAUGGCUUACAGAUGGGCAUGCGCAUGAUUAGCUAGUUGGAGAGGUAACGGCUCCCCAAGGCAACGAUCAUUAGGGGUUCUGAGAGGAAGGUCCCCCCACACUGGUACUGAGACACGGACCAGACUCCUACGGGAGGCAGCAGUGAGGAAUAUUGGUCAAUGGACGAGAGUCUGAACCAGCCAAGUCGCGUGCAGGAAGAAUUGUCCUAUGGAUUGUAAACUGCUUUUGCAGGGGAAUAAAGUGCAUCACGUGUGAUGUUUUGUAUGUACCCUGCGAAUAAGGAUCGGCUAACUCCGUGCCAGCAGCUGC